GCGCGCCCGGCCCUUCCCGGGGCGAGGCUGACUCCGCCGUCAGCUCCGCCCCGCCGGGUCCCGGACCGCAGGCCCUGCCCGCCCCGGGACUCACCUGGCGCCGAGCACCAGCGCGGGCAGCAGCGGCAGCAGCGGCAGCAGUUGGCAAGAUUGUGAGUCGCCAUCAGCCAUGACAUUGUGUCCACGCUGUCCUGAGAAAACGAAGACCCAAAAUUGACUUUAUGCCUUCAGAGAGCUGGGAUACCCAGUUGCCAUGUUGUCCCUUGAAUAGAAUCAUGUGACGAACAGCUGAGGACUGUCAACAAGAGAGAGCUUGAGUGAGCUUGGAAAUUAAUCUUUCAUUUAUCCCACGCAGUCUUGAGAUGAUUACACCCUGGCUGAAAACAUGUGUGCAAAUUUCUGAGAUACCAUGAGCCUGAAUUACCCAGCAAAGAUUCUCAUGGAUUCCUGACCAACUGAGACUGAGAAAAUAAAAGCUUAUUUUAUACUGCUAUGUUUUACCACAAUCAUUUCAUGCUACCAAAAAUAAUUAACAGAGAAAUUACAUA
Non-coding RNA from Heterocephalus glaber (naked mole-rat), 548 nucleotides. Lineage: Eukaryota; Metazoa; Chordata; Mammalia; Rodentia; Bathyergidae. The record is from RefSeq and is a predicted model, not a curated record.